This 492-nucleotide ribosomal RNA is filed under the name uncultured bacterium. RNAcentral's name for it is "partial 16S ribosomal RNA". It matches the Rfam family "Bacterial small subunit ribosomal RNA", at positions 29 to 507 of the family's 1533-position model. The record is from RNAcentral.
AGUGAACGCUGGCGGUAGGCCUAACACAUGCAAGUCGAACGGCAGCACAGUAAGAGCUUGCUCUUACGGGUGGCGAGUGGCGGACGGGUGAGGAAUACAUCGGAAUCUACUUUUUCGUGGGGGAUAACGUAGGGAAACUUACGCUAAUACCGCAUACGACCUACGGGUGAAAGCAGGGGAUCUUCGGACCUUGCGCGAUUGAAUGAGCCGAUGUCGGAUUAGCUAGUUGGCGGGGUAAAGGCCCACCAAGGCGACGAUCCGUAGCUGGUCUGAGAGGAUGACCAGCCACACUGGAACUGAGACACGGUCCAGACUCCUACGGGAGUCAGCAGUGGGGAAUAUUGGACAAUGGGCGCAAGCCUGAUCCAGCCAUACCGCGUGGGUGAAGAAGGCCUUCGGGUUGUAAAGCCCUUUUGUUGGGAAAGAAAAGCAGCAGGUUAAUACCCCGCUGUUCUGACGGUACCCAAAGAAUAAGCACCGGCUAACUUCGUG